CCCCUUGAUUUUUGGUUGUCAAUCCCAGUUACAGUAGGAUUCUCUAUUUUAAAUCUCAAGAACGCGCCUUUUUCAAGCAAGUUGUCGCACAUGACGUAAGCCUUGGCUAAGGCUUGGUUGAGUGUGAAUUAGGCUUCCUUCUUGUUGUCUAUGUGUUAGUUAUGCGCAAGAGUUAACUGUACUUCUUCCUCUUACUAAGAUGUAAGCCUUGACCGAGGCUUAUUUGAGCGAACCCACGAGUUGUAAUCCCACUAAUACCUUAGCCUUUCUUGAGGCUUGAAUGAGCGAGAACCAGAAUCUAAUGUUGGUUGCUGGGCCUAGGCCUUGGCCAAGGUUUAUUCCUAGUAUGAUAUCUUUUUCGCAAAUUCUUUGCUGCGUUCCUUUAUUUUGCCCCCGUUUUCUAUCCUGUAUCAAAGUGGAUGGAAUAACUUAAAUUAGAUAGUAAUUAUUCCAAUUUAAGUACCUAAAACUUGACAAUGAAGAUGAUGUUUUUACACACCAACAAACUCUCUAUCUUGUGCUUGCCCUCAAGCACUUCACAAUACAAAUCUCUAAUUCCCAACCCUUCACUUUCAACCAAACUAUUCUCAGUAAUUUCAUUACAUUUUGAUCUAUUACAUCUUGGCUUUCAAAUUAGGACAACCAUCAAUUAGGAGUUCAUAGAAUAGAUUUUCAUACAGCCACACAAAUGAACAACUAUUUUAACCAAUAUCUAGACACAACAUGAGAGCUUUGUAAAUUUUUGGCACAAAAGUUUUUCAUUUAGAGAAACAGCCAAUACUCAAUAGAACAGUCACCAAACCUAUCUAGAUAUAAAGAUUCCAUGCAAUUGGUUCAUGCUAAAAACAGAAAAUUUAUUUAUAGCUAACAUGAACACUUUUGCUUACUUGAAUUGUCAUUAACAUUUUGAGAUAAGGGCAAACAUUUGUGAUGAAUGCACUCGGUUACUUAUUUGGUCAUAGUUUUAAGUGGGUACUAGCACUACUCAAAGUCAUUCGACUUGAAAUGUUACUAACCUUUUGAUGUGAAGACAAACAUUUAUGAUGAAUGCACCCGAUUACUCAGUUAGUCACAGUUUCAGGUGACUAGAGGAGUAGAUUAUUUGUGCUCUUUUUUCUCUUUGGUUUGUUUGUUUUUUUUUUUUUUUUUGAAGUCCUAGACAUGUCAUAGAAUUCUAGACAUACAAAUCCAGACAAGUUUUAAUGGAGUUCUUUCUAAGCAUUAACAUUCACUCAAAAAUAAGGAAUUUUUGAUUUUUUUUAUGAUAAUCUCCAAACAAAUCAUAUUUAAGAUACACAAUCAAAGACAAUUUUUUUAUAGUGUGAAAGGAAGAAAGACAAGAUAUAAUAUGGUUGUAAUUUUUAAUUCGAUUUUUGAAAUAUCACAUUUGAGUUAUUUCAAAAUAAUUGAAAUAGUUGUGAAAAAGGUUGGGGUAAGAAUUGCCGAAAGUGUAUGUGGGUGUGAUUUGGGCAUGAAUAAGAAUGUGGGGUAGUGAGUGUUCAAAACAUGGCUAUCCUAAAAGCCUAAAGGUGCAGCAUAUAUCUAAACUCGUACCUAAACUACCCCACGCUUAAAUAACAUAUUGUCCUCAAUGUGAUGCAAGACAUGCAAUAAGCAAUCGAGAAAAUAAGCAAAAAAAAAAAAGAUCCACACAAAAUAAGAGAAAAAUGAAAAACAAAAAAAGGGAUAAAAUACUCCCCAAAAGGCUCAUUUGGUACGGGGUCGCAAUGGUGGGCAUCUUUUUUGGGUGAGUAACUAGGUCAGUACAUCAACUUUUUUAUUCAACUCUCGUGUUGAUUGCUAGAGAAAAUUCAUACAGUCAUCCAAACAAUAGAAUUGCAUGAGGAUGAAGUCCAUGAAUUCUUUCAACUCAGGUUGUGAAGGAUUGGGAACUGUAGGAUCUCAUUGCUCCUUUUUGCUGAAUAUGCACUAGUCUCUUAAGACGGGUGAGCCGGGAGAUGCAAAGUAGGGGGUGUCAUCUUUGAUCAAUAGCAAACCCAUCACAUCCAAAGAUCCUAAGUCUAGGGAUGCUUGUGGGCAUAAGACAUGCAAGUCACAGUCUGUGGGGUCAAAGCCAGUGAGGCUAAUAGCAAGCCGAGUGAUGACAGAUCCUAGGAUUAGUAGUCAGUGAAAAGAGAUGACACUGAAAAAUUGGGUGGCCAUCCAAAAGCCUAGGUUCACCCAUCUCUUAUGCACCAUGCACCAUAAGAAAUACAGCUCUAUUUUGGAUAAGAUAUUUAUUGCGUCCUUGCGACAGAAAAUGAAUAGGCUAAAAAGCGAUGGAUAUACUUCCUACUCGAUGCUCGUAAGUAGAGGUUUUUGAAUUUUUUGGGGUCAUAGAUGUCAAGUGGGUUAUUACAGAGCUCUUCAAAGACAGUGGCUGGGUUGAAAUCUUUAUUGAAAUCACAUAAUUGGUGUUUGAGAAAAGGGCCAGAGAAUCGUAGAGCAUUUUGGAACUAAGUGAGUGAAAAGUUGAACUGUUGGCCCAUCAACCAAAAAGAGACCACAUUUGGUGUCCUUAGAGUGAAAUCGGUACAUUUGUGAAAUUUAAAAGUGGAGUGGAAUUCGUAUACCAAUUCCACGUAUUUUAGUAGGGUGUUCUUAAAGUAAGGAGAGCAGCCAAUGUUGCUGAUUAGUUACAAAACUUCCUCUUUGAUGUUAAGGGUUUCCAAGGUAGAGAGGUGACAGCACUUAUUUGGCACUAUUGAGAGUUUAGAGACUUCCCUAUACCUUUUUUUCUCCAAUUCUUCGUGGAAUGUGAGGUGGCCACUCAGUUCAAACUCAUUGUGUGGAAGCACAUGCUUGCCCUUUUGGAUUCAUGUUCUUUUUCGUGUUUGAGCAACCUCAGCGUCAUCGGUGGUGGAUUCUUAUGAGUGGGUUAUUGCAAUUCUAGUUGUUCGAUGGUGUUGUUGGGUCCAAACUGUUGGCCAUCUGACCCUUUUGGUGGGGACUCAGGGAUGUCGAUGAUGGGAUUGCUUUAUGGAUGGUCUCGCUUUCCAUGGAGCUGCUCGUAGCAUGAGGUGGUUUUGGCUAUGUAGACUGGAGUGGUAGAUUUGGUGCUCUCUGUGAUGCUUGCACUGCCUCCAUCACGGCAUGUCGAGCGACAAAGGAGCGCCUAGGGUCACAGGACUUGCAAGCUUAUCUCUUUUACCACAUGGCUCUGGUGUUUACAGUUGUUCUUAGUUAGGAGUCUGAAGUUCGGGUUUAAAGAUCGGGGAAGAUUCAGAGAGGCUAGGACAAGGGUUCAGAGUCAUUGUGGGGAGGGUGGUUGUGGGCAAGGUUUUAGGGUUUUCAAUUAUAAAAUAGCUCUAGGUGUCAU
This 3319-nucleotide long non-coding RNA is filed under the name Carica papaya (papaya). Its description in RNAcentral is "long non-coding RNA (CPAP_LNC004302)". Lineage: Eukaryota; Viridiplantae; Streptophyta; Magnoliopsida; Brassicales; Caricaceae. The record is from RNAcentral.